ACAGUAAAUAAGGUAAACCCUAAACAACUCACCAUCGUCUCCUUCUUCGUUGUUGUACGGCGACUUCUCAUCUUCAUCAUCUCUGAAACGCUUUUCUUCUUCGUAUUUAAUCUCUAUUAAGUCUUCAACCACGAUUUAGCCUUUGAAUGCUUACUUCGCCUUUGGAUUCGGUGUAUCUGCGAGUAUAAAUAGGAUUUCUUUAUCAGUAUAAUGGCCAAGCAGUUUGUUCCACUUACUGAUUUGAGAUGAGGACGUUGUUCUUCCACUUCCUUGCGGCUGCUCAGAUUCUGGGAAACCAGAAACUGGAGUUGACAGGAUCCUCCUAGAUGCUGGGUUAACACUCAUGCCAGUCGACGUGAAUGUCAACCUUCUUUCUCCACCGACAUGAAGAUGGACAAAGGGUGUUGUUACGUCUCUUGCUCCAGGUGGACCACGGAGCUUCAACGGACUGUAGCAGCCUUUACUUGCGUGUCAUGCAACAACGCUAAUGCUUAUUGUUGUUGGUGUCCUCCGUUUAUGGAGCAUCAUCUCCCUGGCCUUCCUGCAACCAAAGACUGGCAAUGAUAACGAUGAUAUGCUUGGAAUGAACUCAGACUCUGCUAAGGUCGACGUUGGUGGUAGUACUCUUGAGGGAGCACCGACAACCUGAGCAGAUCCAAGCGAUCGAUACACUAAGAAGCCUCCGGUUCGAGCAUCUUUGUAGAUGGCAGAGAAAGCACGCAUGGAAUAAGCGAAGAUAACAGAGCUCUGAACUCAGUAUUUCCUAUUUGAAUCAUGCUAACACAUCAAUGUUUCUUAAAUAAAGUGUUGUAUUUAUCAUGUCGUUCCAUUUAAAAUAAAAACAUGAGCUUCAAAUUCAGCAAAUACAGUCAGGGAUAAUUUGUUUCGAGCGUUGAUUUGAGUAAAUAAUAUAAUCGUAAUGAUUCUAUGAGUC
Raphanus sativus (radish) is the source of this 934-nucleotide long non-coding RNA. RefSeq lists it as uncharacterized. Lineage: Eukaryota; Viridiplantae; Streptophyta; Magnoliopsida; Brassicales; Brassicaceae. The transcript has 5 exons. The record is from RefSeq and is a predicted model, not a curated record.